UACAUUUGUCUCGUCUUAGGUGAUGUGUUGAUGCCCAAUUAACACACAAGAGGGAAGCCGGUUAGAAUCCGGAACAGUGCCCGCUACUGUGAUGCCCGUUUCUCCGAAUAAGGAGAUUCAAAGAAAGAUUCUUACACCACUGUCCACACGGAUGGGAAGGUAUUUUUCUUAGGCGUAGUCAGGAGACCUGCCAAGACAAACAUAGGUAA
RNAcentral lists this non-coding RNA (209 nucleotides) under Butyricimonas synergistica. The record is from RNAcentral. Lineage: Bacteria; Pseudomonadati; Bacteroidota; Bacteroidia; Bacteroidales; Odoribacteraceae.